AUUGAACGCUGGCGGCAUGCCUUACACAUGCAAGUCGAACGGUAACAGGUUAAGCUGACGAGUGGCGAACGGGUGAGUAAUAUAUCGGAACGUGCCCAGUAGUGGGGGAUAGCCCGGCGAAAGCCGGAUUAAUACCGCAUACGACCUACGGGUGAAAGGGGGGGAUCGCAAGACCUCUCGCUAUUGGAGCGGCCGAUAUCAGAUUAGCUAGUUGGUGGGGUAAAAGCUCACCAAGGCGACGAUCUGUAGCUGGUCUGAGAGGACGACCAGCCACACUGGGACUGAGACACGGUCCAGACUCCUACGGGAGGCAGCAGUGGGGAAUUUUGGACAAUGGGCGCAAGCCUGAUCCAGCAAUGCCGCGUGAGUGAAGAAGGCCUUCGGU
This 385-nucleotide ribosomal RNA is filed under the name uncultured bacterium. Its description in RNAcentral is "bacterial SSU rRNA". It matches the Rfam family "Bacterial small subunit ribosomal RNA", at positions 30 to 422 of the family's 1533-position model. The record is from RNAcentral.